GACGAACGCUGGCGGCGUGCUUAACACAUGCAAGUCGAACGGAAAGGCCUUUUCGGAGGUACUCGAGUGGCGAACGGGUGUGUAACACGUGGGUGAUCUGCCCUGCACUCUGGGAUAAGCCUGGGAAACUGGGUCUAAUACCGGAUAGGACCGCACUUGAGUGUGGGUGGGGGAAAGUUUUUUCGGUGUAGGAUGAGCCCGCGGCCUAUCAGCUUGUUGGUGGGGUAAUGGCCUACCAAGGCGGCGACGGGUAGCCGGACUGAGAGGUUGGUCGGCCACAUUGGGACUGAGAUACGGCCCAGACUCCUACGGGAGGCAGCAGUGGGGAAUAUUGCACAAUGGGCGCAAGCCUGAUGCAGCAACGCCGCGUGGGGGAUGACGGCCUUCGGGUUGUAAACUCCUUUCGCCAGGGACGAAGCGUUUUGUGACGGUACCUGGAGAAGAAGCACCGGCUAACUACGUG
This 463-nucleotide ribosomal RNA is filed under the name uncultured bacterium. RNAcentral's name for it is "partial 16S ribosomal RNA". It matches the Rfam family "Bacterial small subunit ribosomal RNA", at positions 28 to 507 of the family's 1533-position model. The record is from RNAcentral.